GGCGGCGGGAGCAACGGGGCAGCGCACGCAGCCGCAGGAAGAGCCACCGGGAGCCACGGCGGGACCGGCAGCCCGCCCGCCGCCGAGCUCGGCGCGGAGAAUCGGCACAUCCCCGUUCCGCCGGGGGCGGCUCUGCCAACCCCCCCGCCGCCUCCCCUCCUCCCUCCCUCCCUCCUUCCCUCCUUCCUUCCCUCCCCGCCCCUCCUGAGUGACAUCCUUGUGAGUUUGCCUCGCUGCCCGCGCCCGUCGCUGGGCGCUCGCCGCCGCAUCUCCCUCUUCAUCAACUCCUGCGAGCCGCCGGCGGAGGGCAGGGACCAGAAGUUGCGGCCAGCCCGGGUGGAAAAGUAGCGGCAGAGCGGAAGAGGCCGGAACCGAGCGCAACCCGGCCCAGCCGAGCGGGGCCGGCACGGCCCCCGCCAGCCGCAGCCCCCGGCCGGGGGCGGGCCCGCGCUCCGACCAGAGCGACGCAGCCCCGCGGGAACCGGCGCCGACCCGUCGCGAAAGAACCUACAUGCGAAGUGAAAGGAAACCUGAAACUGCUCUUACAAGAAAGUAUUGGCUUUCUGCCUUUUUCGCAUGUUUUCCUUUUGCAUCAUAAUGGAAGGAGCAGGAUUUUUUGAAUCAUCGAGGCCAAAUUUGGGACUUGAAAAUAUGUCAAUAUGACUCUUAAUCCAGAUCCAUCAUUCACAAACGGAGAGGAAUAGUGGUUAAAAGCACUGCAGUUUCAUCAAAAGGAUCUAAUGGAGGAUCUAUGUUGAUUUUUUUUUUUUAUUGCUUUCCUUCCAGCCCCCCAUGAAUCCCAAAAGAGAAAGAUGGAAAGAGUGUGUAAGGAAAAUGAGAAAAGGCAGAGACUGAAGACCAUAACUUCGAUUUUGGAGUCUAUUUUCCAGAUGUUGUAUAUUCCCUAUUUUAUCAAAUAUAACACAUUGUUUUGAAUAAAUUGUAUCAUUUUGUGAUCAGUAGAGUAUUCCUCAGCUCUAAAAGUGGAAUUUGGCCUGAUUGAAAGCUUUUUAAAAAAGCAGACAUCUGACUCCAGUUCCCUUUUCAGAUCAUGCUUUUCAAGUUACCAAGAGAUAGUGCUUCCGUCUGUUACUGUGCAGUCAACCCGUGCUUUAAAUGCAUAUCUUAGAGAUUUCACUUUUUCCCUGAUUUUAGUGUUUAUUCUUGUGGUGUUGUAUUUGAGAAGAGUGUGAAGAGACAAGGCACCUGAGGUUUAACUUUUCAAGAGCCUUGUCAUUUCAAUGUUGUGUCUCAGAUUACAAGUAGUCUGAGCCUUUGUUGUAAUGCACAGUAUACAAUAAGUCUUUUCUCAUAAAAAUAUGCCUUAAGAUAUUAUUUUUUUAACAAACUGGAUGAAAGUUUGAUAUCUGAACACUGUUUUGUGAAGAAAUGCAUGCCUGGGGAAGAGGAGCUGCCUAAUGGAUCAUGGCUCUGAUGUUCACGGGGCAUACUCUGUUUCUAGCAUUAAUGGUCUUUGAUGUCUUCACUUCUGAAGAAUCUGUAGGCAAUUACUCUGAUUGGGUGACAUUCAUGGAAAAUGUAGAUCAAUAUGAAAAACAGCAACUUGAGG
This is a long non-coding RNA of Cyanoderma ruficeps (rufous-capped babbler), 1570 nucleotides long. Lineage: Eukaryota; Metazoa; Chordata; Aves; Passeriformes; Timaliidae. The record is from Ensembl.